RNAcentral lists this long non-coding RNA (391 nucleotides) under Panax ginseng (ginseng). RNAcentral's name for it is "long non-coding RNA (PGIN_LNC013131)". Lineage: Eukaryota; Viridiplantae; Streptophyta; Magnoliopsida; Apiales; Araliaceae. The record is from RNAcentral.
CUUGCCCCCUUCCAUUCCCGAUUCCUCAGCCUCUUAUUGCCUCUCAACUCACCGGCCUCUUCCCGUCUCAAUCUCCGGCCUCCACCUCUCCCCGUCUCAAUCUCCGGCCUUCGCCGUCUGUCUGUCUCGCCGUUUCACCUCUUCUUUGGUUGAGGUUCAGCUGUGGAGGCGUGGCUGACUGAAUUUAUCUCCCCACUUUGCCUGUUGGUGGUUCGGCGCUUCAUUUUCCCUAUCUAAUUUACGGUAACUUUCUGGUUAUCCACUCCUAUAGACCUACGUCAAAAAAUAGAUGUAUGUGUAUUAUUUUUGAUACAUUGAAUUAUAUAUUUGAUUGAGUUAUGAGAUAAUUGAGUUUUGUGAGAGAAUUACCUUUGUACAAAAUCCCGUACCC